UCCUACGGGAGGCAGCAGUGAGGAAUUUUGGACAAUGGGGGAAACCCUGAUCCAGCCAUCCCGCGUGUGCGAUGAAGGCCUUCGGGUUGUAAAGCACUUUUGGCAGGAAAGAAACGUCAUGGGUUAAUACCCCGUGAAACUGACGGUACCUGCAGAAUAAGCACCGGCUAACUACGUGCCAGCACCCGCGGUAAUA
Molecule: ribosomal RNA, 196 nt
Filed under: uncultured bacterium
Lineage: Bacteria
Description: partial 16S ribosomal RNA
Rfam family: Bacterial small subunit ribosomal RNA
Source: RNAcentral